AGUGAACGCUGGCGGUAGGCCUAACACAUGCAAGUCGAACGGCAGCACAGUAAGAGCUUGCUCUUACGGGUGGCGAGUGGCGUACGGGUGAGGAAUACAUCGGAAUCUACUUUUUCGUGGGGGAUAACGUAGGGAAACUUACGCUAAUACCGCAUACGACCUACGGGUGAAAGCAGGGGAUCUUCGGACCUUGCGCGAUUGAAUUAGCCGAUGUCGGAUUAGCUAGUUGGCGGGGUAAAGGCCCACCAAGGCGACGAUCCGUAGAUGGUCUGAGAGGAUGAUCAGCGACACGGGAAGUGAGACACGGUCCAGACUCCUACGGGAGGCAGCAGUGGGGAAUAUUGGACAAAGGGCGCAAGCCUGAUCCAGCCAUACCGCGUGGGUGAAGAAGGCCUUCGGGUUGUAAAGCCCUUUUGUUGGGAAAGAAAAGCAGCAGGUUAAUACCCAGCUGUUCUGACGGUACCCAAAGAAUAAGCACCGGCUAACUUCGUG
This 492-nucleotide ribosomal RNA is filed under the name uncultured bacterium. Its description in RNAcentral is "partial 16S ribosomal RNA". It matches the Rfam family "Bacterial small subunit ribosomal RNA", at positions 29 to 507 of the family's 1533-position model. The record is from RNAcentral.